CGGACGGGUGAGUAACACGUAGAUAACCUGCCCUGCAGUGGGGAAUAACAGCCCGAAAGGGUUGCUAAUACCGCAUAAGCUCACAAUUGUUAGGUUGUGAGGAAACCCCUUGGGUAACCAGGGGGGCUAAAGGAGGGGUCUGCGGCGGAUUAGCUAGAUGGUGGGGUAAAGGCCUACCAUGGCGACGAUCCGUAGCUGGUCUGAGAGGACGGCCAGCCACACUGGGACUGAGAUACGGCCCAG
Molecule: ribosomal RNA, 243 nt
Filed under: uncultured bacterium
Lineage: Bacteria
Description: partial 16S ribosomal RNA
Rfam family: Bacterial small subunit ribosomal RNA
Source: RNAcentral